Gasterosteus aculeatus (three-spined stickleback) is the source of this 3020-nucleotide long non-coding RNA. The record is from Ensembl. Lineage: Eukaryota; Metazoa; Chordata; Actinopteri; Perciformes; Gasterosteidae.
AUGUUAGCCUAUGAGGACACGUUAGCCUGUGAGAACAUGUUAGCCUAUGAGGGCAUGUUAGCCUAUGAGGACACGUUAGCCUGUGAGAACAUGUUAGCCUAUGAGGACAUGUUAGCCUAUGAGGACAUGUUAGCCUAUGAGGACACGUUAGCCUAUGAGGACACGUUAGCCUAUGAGGACACGUUAACCUAUGAGGACAUGUUAGCCUAUGAGGACACGUUAGCCUAUGAGGGCAUGUUAGCCUAUGAGGACACGUUAGCCUAUGAGAACAUGUUAGCCUAUGNNNNNNNNNNNNNNNNNNNNNNNNNNNNNNNNNNNNNNNNNNNNNNNNNNNNNNNNNNNNNNNNNNNNNNNNNNNNNNNNNNNNNNNNNNNNNNNNNNNNCCUAUGAGGACAUGUUAGCCUAUGAGGACACGUUAGCCUAUGAGGACAUGUUAACCUAUGAGGACAUGUUAGCCUAUGAGGACACGUUAGCCUUUGAACAAUAUAUUAACAGUAUACUUAGUGUUUGUCCUCUGUAAGAAGUGUAUCUAUGCGUUCAUUGGAAUUUGGGGACUAUUAAUCAUUUAUGCUUUGUGCACUAAAGUUGGAUUGACGCUUCCUGUGUGUCUCGAUUUAUUGCCGUGAUAAUUGCAGCAGGUGCAACACGUAAGAGCUGCGUGAGGCGCGAGAGCACAUCGUUUAUCUGUGAUAGAAUUCAUUAUAACACUUUGCCGCGUAAAAUAAAGACAAAAAGAUCUAAACGAUCUGCCGUCAUUCACGUGAGGAAAUGAAGUCACGUGUCUGCAGCUCAAUGCAGCUUAAUGACGAACAACAUCGAAGGAACAACACUACACACUCGGUUUAAUACUUUAAUACUUUAAUACGCGCUUUGUGUCCGCUGGUGAGCCCGUGGUCUCAAUCGUCUGCCUGCGUCCACAUAACGAGUAGGCAGAUGGCUAACUAGCUACUGUGGCUACGUAAGCGGUGAGCUAUUGUUAGCUGCUGCGAGGACGAGUCAUCACAGUGUGUUAAUAAAGUUUUUUAAUCGGCUCAGGAACCGAAAGCAAGCACCAAAAUCUGCGUUGCGUUUCGGUCGUAUAGGACCGGUAUCUACGUACCUUUCUCGGUACCCGACCCGAGUGAAGACGGGUUAGCCUGUGAGAAAGCGUUAGCUUGUGAACGCAUUAUGACGCGUUGGCGUCAACAAAACUUCUCUGUCUAUCUGUAGUUGUUUUAUUUAGGUCUUUUUGUAGUUGUGUCUCUUUGUAAUUCUUUUGUCUCUCUGUAGUCUGUGUCUCUUUCUUCCUGGUUAUAACAAGUCUCUUUCUGGUUGGUUCUUGACUUCUUGAAAAGAAGUGCUAGCUUUUAGCUUGCAAAAAAACCUGUAAGUAGAUAUUCCUGCAGCAUCACGUGACAUUGUACUUGAGCUCCAGCGUAUGUGGCCGGAGGGAACCGUAACCCCCUCGGGUGGAGUAGGAGAGGUGUAGUGAGUGGAUGUGAGGGUUGGAAGUGUUCUCUCUGUGGAUGAUGUCAUUAGCUCUGACCCUCUCAACGCGCCAUCAGCUGAUUUAUCAGCUGCUGCAUGCAUUAAGUAUUACAUCACAGACGCCACUGCUAGCAGAUUAGCGCUCAGCGCCUCGGCCAUCCAUCCUCUUUCUGUUUCCUGCUCUGCUGGAUGCUGAAUGUCCUCCUGUGGCCUCUUACCUUCUCCCCCCUUUUCCUUUCCAUCAUCCUUCUUUCCUCCUUUUCUUUCCUUCCUCUUCUUUUCCUCUUUUAACUCCCUCCUUUCCUUACUCCCUCUUUUACUUUAUUAUUCCAGUGGCUUUGUGCCUUCCUCCCUCCUUUCCUUUCCUUACUUCUGUGUCCUCUUACCUACCUCCUUCCUUUCCUUUCUGUGGUCUCAUAACUCCUUCCCUCCUUUGCUUCAAUUCCUCAGUCUUUUCCUUCUCUUUUUCCUUAAGGGCAAAGUUCACUCUGGGUGAUCAUUGAUCGCUUUCUCUCUCUGCGGAGUGUGUGUGUGUGUGUGUGUGUGUGUAACUACCAUCCACCCACAGCACCAUGCAUCAUAACCAUAACCUCAGGCUUCAUCAGCUCCACAGGUACUUAUGUGUCUCUGUGCAUGUGGGUAAACUGUGUGUGUGUGUGUGUGUGUGACUACACACCUCUCUACUCACUGACGGUCCAGGUUCUGUCUGAUCUCCACAAAAUGCUCUCCGUGCUCUUCUCUUUAUAAAUAGCAUCGUUCUGAAGCGGCCCCCUCUCACAUGGGUCUCACUGGGGAGGGACGACUGCACACGUCUAAUAACAACAACGGGAUCUUUUCUCUUGUCGCUGCUCGUCUCCGAAUGAAGGCAGAUACGUGAUGAAGGCUCCUCCCAAGCAGAGGUCCUCUGGUAGGAGGAGGAGAAGGUCCCAUCACCUGUUGUCCCUGUUUUAUUUGUGACAGGAGCUGUGUGUACCUCUACUUAUCUAAUUAUAGCAAGACAAUAAGAUUAAGUGUGUAAACACAAAAUGACAACUGCGUUUGUGUUUGAUUAUUGAUGUGUUGGCUGUUCAUUAUGCAACACAACCAAAUGCAUUUUGUGUACAUGGACACAAUUAUUCCGUAUCGUACCAAAACAACUUGUUACACAUCAAAGAAAAGGCAACAAAACCACAACAAAGAACAACGUCUGCGUCCAAAAGGACGUCUUCUGUAUUCAUGGAGACGUUCCUAUGAAACACCAGAGGAGACCUCAUUAAGGCGGCAACGCGCACGCAGUGUGCGUGUGUGUGUGUGUGUGUGUGUGUGUGUGUGUGUGUGCGUGUGCCCGUGUGCCCGUGUGUGUGUGUGUGUGUGUGUGUGAGUGUGUGUGUGUGUGUGUGUGUGUGUGUGUGAGCCCCUGGGAGGGUUAAGUAGGGAAACAGUAGAGAUUGAGGUGGGGAAUUCUCAUCAAAAAUGUCCAAAUCAGGAAAGGUGUCGCCAAAGAGCCCCCCCACAGAGGGAAGUGUGUGUGUGUGUGUGUGUGUGUCUGUGUGUGUGUGUGUGUGUGUGUGUGU